CCUACGGGGUGCAGCAGUGAGGAAUAUUGGUCAAUGGGCGUAAGCCUGAACCAGCCAAGUCGCGUGAGGGAUGAAGGUUCUAUGGAUCGUAAACCUCUUUUAUAAGGGAAUAAAGUGUGGGACGUGUCCUGUUUUGUAUGUACCUUAUGAAUAAGGAUCGGCUAACUCCGUGCCAGCAGCCGCGGUAAUACGGAGGAUCCGAGCGUUAUCCGGAUUUAUUGGGUUUAAAGGGUGCGUAGGCGGCCUUUUACGUCAGCGGUGAAAGUCUGUGGCUCAACCAUAGAAUUGCCGUUGAAACUGGGAGGCUUGAGGAUGUUUGAGGCAGGCGGAAUGCGUGGUGUAGCGGUGAAAUGCUUAGAUAUCACGCAGAACCCCGAUUGCGAAGGCAGCCUGCCAAGCCAUGACUGACGCUGAUGCACGAAAGCGUGGGGAUCAAACAGGAUUAGAUACCCGGGUAGUC
This 460-nucleotide ribosomal RNA is filed under the name uncultured bacterium. RNAcentral's name for it is "partial 16S ribosomal RNA". It matches the Rfam family "Bacterial small subunit ribosomal RNA", at positions 338 to 795 of the family's 1533-position model. The record is from RNAcentral.